Molecule: unclassified non-coding RNA, 292 nt
Filed under: uncultured Devriesia
Lineage: Eukaryota; Fungi; Ascomycota; Dothideomycetes; Mycosphaerellales; Teratosphaeriaceae
Description: sequence contains ITS1
Rfam family: 5.8S ribosomal RNA (bases 1-105)
Source: RNAcentral
GAAAUGCGAUAAGUAAUGUGAAUUGCAGAAUUCAGUGAAUCAUCGAAUCUUUGAACGCACAUUGCGCCCUCUGGCAUUCCGGGGGGCAUGCCCGUUCGAGCGUCAUUAACACCCAUCAAGCCUGGCUUGGUCUUGGGCGACGGGACCUCCCCGCGCCCCGAUUUCGCCGGCUGGACGACCCCGCACUCUCAGCGUUGUGACGCACUGUCGCUGUCGAGGCGGGCGGCCACGCCGUUAACCCCAAUCAAAUCAAGUUGACCUCGGAUCGGGUAGGAAUACCCGCUGAACUUAA